RNAcentral lists this long non-coding RNA (1336 nucleotides) under Meleagris gallopavo (turkey). RNAcentral describes it as "lncRNA (ENSMGAG00000019918.1)". Lineage: Eukaryota; Metazoa; Chordata; Aves; Galliformes; Phasianidae. The record is from RNAcentral.
GCUCCCCCUCCGCCCGCCGCCUCCUCCCCUCGCUGCCAUCGGGCUGCCCGGCCCCACCGCCCGGAGCGGAGAGGAGCGGAGAGGGACACGGUUCUGUUUUUUUCCGCUCUCCCUUCGGCUCGUGUUGCAGUGCAGGCGAUGCCACACCUCCCGAGGACACCGGGGACAUCGGGUUUUGCUGAGCUUAGCAUCUUCCCCCCGCCGUACCGGAGACAUCAGACAGACGCUGCUCUGCCCUGAAGUGCGGACCUGCAACAGCUCUGGGAGGACUUCUGUCCCUCUGUCUCUUUCUCUCUCUCUUUCUCUCCAGUCCAAACCAUUCCAAGACCCGACUUCCACCAUCUGGAAAUCUCACCCCUUUUAUGUCCCUUCUCCUUUUCUACGAUGACUCACCAUUAUUUUUAACUUUGAAGAGAGAGGAAAUUAUGGGGAUCUUGGAAGCCUGUAUUCCUCUCUAGGAUUUCCCCAGGGUCAGAUAAUCGGUCUUACUAAGAGACACUAAGAUUUGGCUUCUCCAGGUAAUGUGAUUUGUUUUCUGUGUGCCAUGGCGCUUUGCAGAGAAUGAGAGCAGCCGGGACACCAGCGGUCGAGGAGGGGGACUGCAGUGGUCCGCGGGCAGCUUGCACCCAAAUUCAGGCAGCAGAGCCCAGCUCGGGGCGGGCAGAGCAGCACCCGCAGCCCUAUGGCAGGGGCAGGAGGAUGGGGACGGUGCCGAAGUUAAAGCGGAGCCUUUAGGGUUACCUGGAGGGUCGUGCCGGAUUGCCUGCUGUAGAACCGUAGAAUAAUCUAUGCACGGUUGAAUGUUAACCCUUAAAUGCAUGCCUGGAAAUGAGCCGAGCCCGCGCUGCCCCGCGGGUCCCCUCCCCGCUGUAGGGCUGGAUGGGUUUUUGCUUCCAUUCUCUUCCCUUCCCCCUCCUGGUUUUUUCUCCCCUCUUUCGAAUUUUUCUUUUUAGCCGUAAAACCCAAAAUGUUCUGUUUGGCCAAUGGCGGUUCUGCCGUGCCGGUUGUGAAUAGAUGAGGGUUCCUCAGGUGUUUUCUCCCUUCUGCCCUAUGGGUUUAGAUGGGAGUUCUGAACUCUGAUUAACUCAGAUUAACCCCCCGAGGACGGCGGUAGGCAAUGGUAGCGCAGGGAGCCGCUCUCCUCCCCCCAACUUUACUUCAUCUCUCUCUUUCUCAGCAGGGGCAAUUUUCUUUCCUUUUUUGUUUUCUCCUAUUUUAUCAUCCCUUCGCCUUUUCAUGAGACACUUCCACACCUACGUACCUGUCCUUCUGCAGGAUAGUAGCCUUGCCCUGAGUCCGAUCCCAUCACCGGGCACUCGGAAGAGUUUAGCAUAAG